Molecule: long non-coding RNA, 1139 nt
Filed under: Numida meleagris (helmeted guineafowl)
Lineage: Eukaryota; Metazoa; Chordata; Aves; Galliformes; Numididae
Description: lncRNA (ENSNMEG00000017178.1)
Source: RNAcentral
AGAGGAGAGGAGAGGAGAGGAGAGGAGAGGAGAGGAGAGUCUUGCUAUGGGGGACUGUUUCACUGGAGAACCGUAAGAACUCUACAAGUAGGCAAAAUACAAACGCGCAGGAGAAAGACAUCUGAGAACACUUAGCUGGCCUCACUGAUAGAAAUGAUUGUGGGGAGAGGGGUUAAAUAGAUCCCAGAGAACAAGGAAAGAUGUGGAACGUUACUUGGGUAAUUGGAGUGCUGGGUAGCAAAUACUGGAGGCAAAUCCACGUCUCCUAAGAGACCUGGCGACGUCUGGGGAAUGCAGUCCCUGCUUUAGCAUUGCUCUUUUUAAAAAGUAAGGCAGCUGGAAAGCAUCAGGCAGCGAAGAAGGGACAGAUUUGGUGACACAGCUUCUGAGGGGGUACGGGAGAAGGAGGAGCACACGGAAGGGAGAUGGACUCCCUGCAUGUAACUCACCCCGCUGAGAAGGAGAGCCGCAGCCUUCUCCACGCAGACAAAAGAUGGCGAAGAGCCCGUGGUACCAAGCUGAACAGCAGCAGGCACCGAGGGACAAGGUCUCUGUGGCCACUUCUCCAGCCCAGCCACAGCUCUUCCCUCUCUGCAGGUCCAGCACGACCAACAAGAGCAAUGCAAAGUUUCAAUGGAGGAUCCAGCACUAACCUAACACCAAAACAAUCCAGGUGUGUGUCUUCAGCAGCAUGAGACUGAGAUGCCCUCCCCCUCCAACAGCAUGGCCACUAAAAUACACAGUUCAGCCAGGAUUUUCUGCGGGUCACAUCACGCUCCAGGAGAUGCAAGUUGUUGACUUCCAUAUCAGCUUUCCUUCAUGGUAGGCAUGUCUCCCAGCUGGUCAUACACCAACAAGGAACUUCUUGAAAGAAUGGGAACCUAAACAUUUUCUCAGCCACCUGCAAAAUGCCACUUGAAAUGGCUCGUUAGUGAAAAGGCCACCUUUGCUGUUAACUUGGUGACAAGGAACUGGCAAGAGAGUUAAUUCGGAAGCAAUGCGUAUCAACCUUUGGAGCUGCCUUUGAAUCACUUGAAGGAUGGGUGAGCAGUGAUCUUCCAGCAUGCUGUCAGCCUGUUCACAUCUCAGAAAUACUUUCUGGCACACCCAGGAAAAUAAACCAGGUUUCUGGCAGCGCA